CAACACUGGGACUGAGACACUGCCCAGACUCCUACGGGAGGCUGCAGUCGAGAAUCUUUCGCAAUGGACGAAAGUCUGACGAAGCGACGCCGCGUGUGUGAUGAAGGCCUUAGGGUUGUAAAGCACUUUCGCCUGGGAAUAAGAGAGAUUGGCUAAUAUCCAAUCGAUUUGAGCGUACCAGGUAAAGAAGCACCGGCUAACUC
RNAcentral lists this ribosomal RNA (203 nucleotides) under uncultured Chlamydiales bacterium. RNAcentral describes it as "partial 16S ribosomal RNA". It matches the Rfam family "Bacterial small subunit ribosomal RNA", at positions 308 to 503 of the family's 1533-position model. The record is from RNAcentral. Lineage: Bacteria; Pseudomonadati; Chlamydiota; Chlamydiia; Chlamydiales.